Molecule: ribosomal RNA, 179 nt
Filed under: Ruellia adenocalyx
Lineage: Eukaryota; Viridiplantae; Streptophyta; Magnoliopsida; Lamiales; Acanthaceae
Also listed under: 7 other names
Description: 5.8S ribosomal RNA
Rfam family: 5.8S ribosomal RNA (bases 12-167)
About the family: 5.8S ribosomal RNA (5.8S rRNA) is a component of the large subunit of the eukaryotic ribosome. It is transcribed by RNA polymerase I as part of the 45S precursor that also contains 18S and 28S rRNA. Functionally, it is thought that 5.8S rRNA may be involved in ribosome translocation.
Source: RNAcentral
AAUGUCAAAACGACUCUCGGCAACGGAUAUCUCGGCUCUCGCAUCGAUGAAGAACGUAGCGAAAUGCGAUACUUGGUGUGAAUUGCAGAAUCCCGUGAACCAUCGAGUCUUUGAACGCAAGUUGCGCCCGAAGCCUUCGGGCCGAGGGCACGCCUGCCUGGGCGUCACGCAUCGCGUCG